UAGGUUUUAAUAUGUAGAUUAUUUGUUGAUUAUAUAGCAGUCUUAUAUUCCAAUUAAUUAGGCAUUCCGUGCUUAAUUAUACGCUUAAAUUCGAUACUGGUUUUGAUCGGCUUUAAUUAUGCUUUGAGUGUAACGAUAUUCUGAAAAUUGCGUUCGUCGUACUUACAUUUUAUUUGUUUUAUGACCGGAUGGCCUGAUAAACGUCUCGUUGGUAACGAUAAACUUCUUAAAUUCGCCACUUGAACCUUUAUUUUGUGUAGAAGAGUUCAAGUUCAGUAUUUUUGUAAAUUCAUCAUGUCGUCGUAUUAUGAAAUUCAAUUUAAGUAUUACCUAUGUGUGGUAAAUAAAUAGGUAGGAACGGGAUUAGUCGUUUAUAAUACGUUAUGUAUGUUCAGCUACUACGGGUAAAAAUACAAUAUAAAAAACAGGAUAAGAAUUAUGUAAUCUAUACCUAUAAAGUUAAAUAUGACCAAAAUUGCUCUAUAAAUGACUGUAGGUACAGUGAUUUUUUUGAUACAAUGUUUGGACGCGAAUCGAGACUAGAGACUGAAUAAACCUGGGGGUCUACUCUAAUUCAACGAAACGAAACUUCGAUAUCGAACGAAAUUCAAACGAAGUUUCGUUAGUGACCCUACUCUAUUUCAUUUUCGGACGCGCAUACGAACUUCGGAACCAUAGACAAUUUUCGUGAACGAAUGAAAUCUAUAAUAUGGUGUGAGGCUUUUAUGAUGUCGACUAAACUAAGUUACGGUUUUUACUUUAACUUGAAAUUAUUAAACUUUUCAGCUUUACUUAUUGAUGUGACGUUAUAAAUGUGAUUCAUUACAUAUUUCUUGUAAUAUUCAUGCAAACAAUUUAAACUUUUAGAUUAAAAAAAUAUUUUCAACUACUUUCGACUCGACACUACAAAAAACCCUUCGACAGUCAUAGCUAACCAACUAAUUUGAAGAGUACUAUUUCAUGCCAAAAAUGGGUAAUCACGUAUGACAACCAAAAAUAGCUGCAUAAUACAAGCUAAUCAUAACAUGUCAACUUACAAUUUUUUGUUUGAAUACUUUGUAAAGUUUUCUGGAGUGUGUUUCUCAAGUGUCGUAUUAAAUAAAUCAUGUUUCCAAGUGAGAUACAAAGGUCCGCGUUCCUUAAGGAAGUAUCAUGUCGUACUUUACUACAAUCCGACUUCUACGUACGACGUCUGCUGUAUUUUGGUUCGCAACAAGUUUUGUUUUGGAUUUAAACACUUUGUAAGUAGAUAUCAUAUUAUACAAAUAUAAUAUUUGGGUUUGCUCUAACACCAUUGCCUUUUCUAAUAAUAACCAUUUAUAUUUUCAGUUUAAAAUGGCUCCACAUACGGCAACUUUUGAGCAAAUAGAAACCCUUCUCAAUUUCCUGGACAAACAUAGAGAUUUAGCUCGCGGGACAUUGAAUAGUUGAACCCAGCCAGGAAGAUAGGCAGCUGUUACAACCUGGGAGUCCAGCUGUAACAGCCGCCUAUGCACCACUAUCGUUGACACAAGAAUGCCUGACUUUCACACCUUCCUCUCGACAUACACACUCUGCAAGGAGACGAUCUGCAAUCACAGGUGUAAGAAGCAGAUUGUAUCAAUAUGAAGAGGAGCGUGCCCAGAGAGAGAGACGGUGAAAAACGCAGAGCUUGCAGGCAUCAGGGGCGACUUGGCAGGCAUCAGUCCUACCCUAUUGUAGCUGCAUAACACAAUAAAGGAAUAUGUGGAUAGGAAUUAAGAUUUUGUUAGUUAUUAAUUGUGUUUAGUAUUUCUUAGUUAUUAAUUUGUUAUGUUUAAACAGGGUAAUAGUAAAUAAAACUUUAAGUAUAUAA
Helicoverpa armigera (cotton bollworm) is the source of this 1834-nucleotide long non-coding RNA. RefSeq lists it as uncharacterized. Lineage: Eukaryota; Metazoa; Arthropoda; Insecta; Lepidoptera; Noctuidae. The record is from RefSeq and is a predicted model, not a curated record. The transcript has 2 exons.